ACUCCUACGGGAGGCAGCAGUGGGGAAUAUUGCACAAUGGGCGAAAGCCUGAUGCGGCAACGCCGCGUGAGGGACGACGGCCUUCGGGUUGUAAACCUCUUUUGGCAGGGAAGAAGCGAAAGUGACGGUACCUGCAGAAAAAGCACCGGCUAACUACGUGCCAGCAGCCGCGGUAAUACGUAGGGUGCAAGCGUUGUCCGGAAUUAUUGGGCGUAAAGAGCUCGUAGGCGGUUUGUCGCGUCUGCUGUGAAAACGCGAGGCUCAACCUCGCGCCUGCAGUGGGUACGGGCAGACUAGAGUGUGGUAGGGGAGAUUGGAAUUCCUGGUGUAGCGGUGGAAUGCGCAGAUAUCAGGAGGAACACCGAUGGCGAAGGCAGAUCUCUGGGCCAUUACUGACGCUGAGGAGCGAAAGCGUGGGGAGCGAACAGGAUUAGAUACCCUGGUAGUCCACGCCGUAAACGUUGGGAACUAGAUGUGGGGUCCAUUCCACGGAUUCCGUGUCGCAGCUAACGCAUUAAGUUCCCCGCCUGGGGAGUACGGCCGCAAGGCUAAAACUCAAAGGAAUUGACGGGGGCCCGCACAAGCGGCGGAGCAUGCGGAUUAAUUCGAUGCAACGCGAAGAACCUUACCAAGGCUUGACAUAUACCUGCAAAGGCUGGAAACAGUCUCCUCGCAAGACAGGUAUACAGGUGGUGCAUGGUUGUCGUCAGCUCGUGUCGUGAGAUGUUGGGUUAAGUCCCGCAACGAGCGCAACCCUCGUUCUAUGUUGCCAGCGCGUCAUGGCGGGAACUCAUAGGAGACUGCCGGGGUCAACUCGGA
Molecule: ribosomal RNA, 819 nt
Filed under: uncultured Actinomycetes bacterium
Lineage: Bacteria; Bacillati; Actinomycetota; Actinomycetes
Description: bacterial SSU rRNA
Rfam family: Bacterial small subunit ribosomal RNA
Source: RNAcentral